AUCCAGUUGACGAGUACCAAAUAGGACGAAACGUGUGUCAAACUGGAU
Non-coding RNA from Schistosoma curassoni, 48 nucleotides. Lineage: Eukaryota; Metazoa; Platyhelminthes; Trematoda; Strigeidida; Schistosomatidae. The record is from Rfam.